RNAcentral lists this ribosomal RNA (297 nucleotides) under Mahavelo madagasus. RNAcentral's name for it is "partial 12S small subunit ribosomal RNA". The record is from RNAcentral. Lineage: Eukaryota; Metazoa; Arthropoda; Insecta; Coleoptera; Cerasommatidiidae.
UUAAAAAUGUGAAUUAAAAGAUUAGAUUAGUAUUAGUUAAGAUCUUUAAAAUUAAAAAUUUUGGCGGUAAUUUAGUCUUUUCAGAGGAACCUGUUCUAUAAUUGAUAAUCCACGAUAAAUUAUACUUAAAUUUAGUUUUCAUAUCGUCGUAGAGAAUAUUUUAUUAGAAUAAAAAUAUUCAAAAAUUUUUAUUAAAUUAAAAAUCAGAUCAAGGUGUAGCGUAUAUUUAAGAAGAAAUGGGUUACAUUAUUAUUAUUUAUGGAUAAUAAGUUGAAAAUUUAUUUGAAAUUGGAUUUG